CAAUAGCGUAUAUUAAAGUUGUUGCAGUUAAAAGCUCGUAGUUGGAUUUGUGGUGUGUCCAGUUGGCCUUUGCUCUUUGAGUGAUAGUGCUUUACUGGUCUGCCAUGUUUGGGUGGAAUCUGUGUGGCAUUAAGUUGUCGUGCAGGGGAUGCCCAUCGUUUACUGUGAAAAAUUAGAGUGUUCAAAGCAGGCUUAUGCCUCUGAAUAUAUUAGCAUGGAAUAAUGAUAUAGGACCUUGGUACUAUUUUGUUGGUUUGCGCACUGAGGUAAUGAUUAAGAGGGACAGUUGGGGGUAUUUGUAUUCCAUUGUCAGAGGUGAAAUUCUUGGAUUUUUGGAAGACAAACUACUGCGAAAGCAUUUACCAAGGAUGUUUUCAUUAAUCAAGAACGAAAGUUAGGGGAUCGAAGACGAUCAGAUACCAU
RNAcentral lists this ribosomal RNA (423 nucleotides) under uncultured eukaryote. Its description in RNAcentral is "SSU rRNA". It matches the Rfam family "Eukaryotic small subunit ribosomal RNA", at positions 592 to 1018 of the family's 1831-position model. The record is from RNAcentral.